RNAcentral lists this ribosomal RNA (501 nucleotides) under uncultured bacterium. Its description in RNAcentral is "partial 16S ribosomal RNA". It matches the Rfam family "Bacterial small subunit ribosomal RNA", at positions 31 to 523 of the family's 1533-position model. The record is from RNAcentral.
AUAGAACGCUGGCGGCAGGCUUAACACAUGCAAGUCGAGCGGAGAGAGGUAGCUUGCUACUGAUCUUAGCGGCGGACGGGUGAGUAAUGCUUAGGAAUCUGCCUAUUAGGGGGGGACAACAUUUCGAAAGGAAUGCUAAUACCGCAUACGUCCUACGGGAGAAAGCAGGGGAUCUUCGGACCUCGCGCUAAUAGAUGAGCCUAAGUCGGAUUAGCUAGUUGGUAGGGUAAAGGCCUACCAAGGCGACGAUCUGUAGCGGGUCUGAGAGGAUGAUCCGCCACACUGGGACUGAGACACGGCCCAGACUCCUACGGGAGGCAGCAGUGGGGAAUAUUGGACAAUGGGCGCAAGCUUGAUCCAGCCAUGCCGCGUGUGUGAAGAAGGCCUUAUGGUUGUAAAGCACUUUAAGCGAGGAGGAGGCUACUUUAGUUAAUACCUAGAGAUAGUGGACGUUACUCGCAGAAUAAGCACCGGCUAACUCUGUGCCAGCCGCCGCCGUAA